GAUGAACGCUAGCUACAGGCUUAACACAUGCAAGUCGAGGGGCAGCACGAAGAUAGCUUGCUAUCUUGGGUGGCGACCGGCGCACGGGUGAGUAACGCGUAUCCAACCUGCCCAUUACUCAGGGAUAGCCUUGCGAAAGUAAGAUUAAUACCUGAUGUUGUUAAAAACCCGCAUGAGUUUUUAACCAAAGAUUUAUUGGUAAUGGAUGGGGAUGCGUGACAUUAGGUAGUUGGUGAGGUAACGGCUCACCAAGCCUACGAUGUCUAGGGGUUCUGAGAGGAAGGUCCCCCACAUUGGAACUGAGACACGGUCCAAACUCCUACGGGAGGCAGCAGUGAGGAAUAUUGGUCAAAUGGGGCGAAAGCCUGAACCAGCCAAGUCGCGUGAAGGAAUACGGUCCUAUGGAUUUUAAACUUCUUUUGUAUGGGAGCAAUAAGGUGUACGUGUACAUCGAUGAGAGUACCAUACGAAUAAGCAUCGGCUAACUCCGUGCCAGCAGCCG
Molecule: ribosomal RNA, 502 nt
Filed under: uncultured bacterium
Lineage: Bacteria
Description: bacterial SSU rRNA
Rfam family: Bacterial small subunit ribosomal RNA
Source: RNAcentral